RNAcentral lists this unclassified non-coding RNA (225 nucleotides) under Hevea brasiliensis (rubber tree). Lineage: Eukaryota; Viridiplantae; Streptophyta; Magnoliopsida; Malpighiales; Euphorbiaceae. The record is from RNAcentral.
ACAGGUCCCAGCGUGGAAGGCACCUAUAUUCACCAGUGGGGAAGAAAAAAGGGCAAAAAGUAAAAAUGGAUCAGUUAAUAUGUAUCAUCUUGACAUUUGGUUAAUACUCUUAUAUGUCUAAUAUGAUCCUAGCAAAGCAAAUAAUAAUUUGCAGAAGCAACACUUGGUGAAGACAAUAAAUCAAAUUAAAGAAAGCUCUCGAUCAAAAUUUCAUCAAUGCAUAAG